Molecule: non-coding RNA, 88 nt
Filed under: unclassified sequences
Source: RNAcentral
AAUAAUCUGCCACCGGGUAGGAAUGCUGAACGCAUUCGUUUGCGCGCCGUUAGGUCUUAGAAGGCGCGCAAACGGAUGCGUUUUUGUU